GAGGUUCAGGGUAGAGUUAAUGAACUGUAUGUGGAAAUGUAUUAAGAUUUAAGCUAACACUUCUCAUAAGCUAUUAUAGCUUACAGCAAUCUGAGAAAACAUACCUUUGUGAAGAGAAUUGAGGCAUUUACUUUUUCUCCCUACCUGGUCCCUCCAGAAUUCAUUUAUUACCAAAUGCUUCGUGUGCCUGCAGAAUUCCGUUGAGAGACUACACGCCCCAGGAAACCCUGCAGUACAAGCUUGAAGUACUACCGCUGAGGUCGCCACCGUUGUCUCAGGGCCAGUGGCGCAAUGGAUAACGCGUCUGACUACGGAUCAGAAGAUUCCAGGUUCGACUCCUGGCUGGCUCGAGGAG
Molecule: long non-coding RNA, 355 nt
Organism: Tupaia belangeri chinensis (Chinese tree shrew)
Lineage: Eukaryota; Metazoa; Chordata; Mammalia; Scandentia; Tupaiidae
Exons: 3
Source: RefSeq, a predicted model, not a curated record